Molecule: long non-coding RNA, 610 nt
Organism: Cyprinus carpio (common carp)
Lineage: Eukaryota; Metazoa; Chordata; Actinopteri; Cypriniformes; Cyprinidae
Exons: 3
Source: RefSeq, a predicted model, not a curated record
CAAUCCCAUCAGCAACCAGACUCAACAUCUGGACAUCACUCAGCACUGUCACACAUGUUCAGUUCCUCCAGUCUCUGUAUCUCUGAUAGUGCUGAUCUCUGCUGCUGCUGGAUCUCUGCUGAUUAUAGCUGCAGUCGGGAUCUUCUGCAUCUGCAGGAAAUGUCAGACAAAAAGGAAAGACAGGACUCAUUCAGGACUGUUUAAAUCAUCAUCGAAAAAAGGUAAGAAGUUACAAGUAGUUGUUGCAGUCAGUUAGUCUGUUACUCGUUUGUACAGUAUAGUUCUUAUUAAUUGAUGCUACUUUCAAAUUUUGAAUUAUAUUUCAAAGCUUUUUUUUAUUUUUAUUUUUUUUUGAGUAGACAUUUUUAUGAAAUUAUUUUACAGAAGCUUUAGUAAGGUCUUGUAUAGCCUGCAUAUUCACUCGGAGUGAAUCUGAAGCAAAAUUCUAUUAUAACUUUUUAAAUGGUGUUAAACGGUUGCUCUUGAUUUAAUGUAUAUUUUUCCUUGCAGAAAUCAAAGGAUGAACAUGUGUAUGAAAAUAUCUCCCCAAAGCGAUGAUCAAAUACAGAAUCUACUGGAAUAAAAUAAAUGUCCUGACUCCACCUGUUUA